GAUGAACGCUGGCGGCGUGCCUAAUACAUGCAAGUCGAGCGAACGGACGAGAAGCUUGCUUUUCUGAUGUUAGCGGCGGACGGGUGAGUAACACGUGGAUAACCUACCUAUAAGACUGGGAUAACUUCGGGAAACCGGAGCUAAUACCGGAUAAUAUUUUGAACCGCAUGGUUCUAUAGUGAAAGAUGGUUUUGCUGUCACUUAUAGAUGGAUCCGCGCUGCAUUAGCUAGUUGGUAAGGUAACGGCUUACCAAGGCAACGAUGCAUAGCCGACCUGAGAGGGUGAUCGGCCACACUGGAACUGAGACACGGUCCAGACUCCUACGGGAGGCAGCAGUAGGGAAUCUUCCGCAAUGGGCGAAAGCCUGACGGAGCAACGCCGCGUGAGUGAUGAAGGUCUUCGGAUCGUAAAACUCUGUUAUUAGGGAAGAACAUAUGUGUAAGUAACUGUGCACAUCUUGACGGUACCUAAUCAGAAAGCCACGGCUAACUACGUG
RNAcentral lists this ribosomal RNA (497 nucleotides) under uncultured bacterium. Its description in RNAcentral is "partial 16S ribosomal RNA". It matches the Rfam family "Bacterial small subunit ribosomal RNA", at positions 28 to 507 of the family's 1533-position model. The record is from RNAcentral.